UACGUAGGGGGCUAGCGUUGUCCGGAUUUAUUGGGCGUAAAGAGCGUGUAGGCGGCCAGAUAGGUCUGCUGUGAAAACUCGAGGCUCAACCUCGAGAUGUCGGCGGAAACCAUUUGGCUAGAGUCCGGAAGAGGAAAGUGGAAUUCCUGGUGUAGCGGUGAAAUGCGCAGAUAUCAGGAAGAACACCCGUGGCGAAAGCGGCUCUCUGGAACGGUACUGACGCUGAGACGCGAAAGCGUGGGGAGCGAACAGG
This 253-nucleotide ribosomal RNA is filed under the name uncultured bacterium. Its description in RNAcentral is "partial 16S ribosomal RNA". It matches the Rfam family "Bacterial small subunit ribosomal RNA", at positions 524 to 776 of the family's 1533-position model. The record is from RNAcentral.